GUACUGUGUUUACUUCCCCUUUGUCUCAUUAUCUAGAUUCUGUUCACCUGUGUCUCAUUUCCCCCAGUCGUGUUCACUUCCAUGAUUAGCUUGUGUGUCGUUAUAGCCCUGCUCUUCUGUUCUUUGUUAAAGUGUCUGUGAUUCUUCUCUUUCUUGUUGUUUGGAGUCUGUGUUUCAUGGCCUUCACAAACAACCUAAAUAAAACUGCUUGCUUUUUGUUCAGUCCAGCCUGCCACCCAUGUGUACAUUUGUUUAUGAUAGAUGUGUCACAGGGAUGCCUCAUUCUGCAAACAGGACUCAAAGCAUCCACUGUCAGCAUUUUGGUUCAAGACAGUACAGCACAAUCCCAGAGGUCCAGUUCCCACACCUAUCAGCUCCUGUCUCCAGGGGGUAUACAAGGCAUUCCCAAAGAAGCAGCCAAGAAACAUAAUCUCUCCAGGGUGUCCUGGGUCAGACCAGAGGGUCUCCUCCCUGGUGGACAUACCCAAAACACCUCACCAGGAGGUGCCCAGGAGGCAUCCUAGUCAGAUGCCUGAACCACCUCACCAUGUUCCUCUUGAUGUAGAGGACCCGCCAAUCUGAGCCAAUCUCAAAAGACAGCACUCCUCUUCCUUUCUGUCAGCUUGAGGGCAGACAAGUUUCAGAGUUUAGGUGAGCUGGCAGGUGACGCACAGCCACACAUAACGUAAGCACCUAAAGAUCCCAAGCACAGGCUGCAGUGAUGCAGAGCAAUGACUUCCAGUUCUGUGUGCAUGUUUACAGUCUGCUGAUACAGAGCUGGAUGCAGGAGCAGUUGAAUCAUGAUGUUUGAGGAAUCACUGAUUUUAUCAAACAAAUGUCAUUAUAUAUAAAAGAUCAUAUAUGAUCAGCUUUCUUUUGAUUUGUGCUCUUGUGGAGAAAAAAAAUAAACUCAGACCAGAGCCACUUUGGUCUGCAGUGUGACCAUAGUCACAUAUGGGUACUAUUAGGCCAAUAGACCCAAGCAACACAUAUAGGGAUAGUCAUGAUUUCUGAAUAUUUCAAUAAACUGGCAAAAAAGAAGGAAAAAGAAAUUACAGUAUUACUAGGCAAUGGUUAGCACUAUGCAAAUUUCUCACAGCAAGAAGGUCCUGGGUUCAAAUGCACCAGCCAGGGGAGGCCUUUCAGUGUGAAGUCCUGGUACUCCAGCUUCCUCCCAAAGUCUAAACACAUGCGUGGAUUAGAUUAAGUGGUAAUCCUAAAUUGUCCAUAGGUAGGAAUGUGUCUCUCUCUCCCAGACUGGUGACCUGUCCAGAGUGUACCCCGGCUUUCAUGCUAUGACAACUGGGACAGGCUCCAGUGCUCCUGCAACCCUGAACUGGAUAAGAUGGAUGGACGUUACUACUCCCAGAUGGUGGUGGUAAUGCGCUUAGAAGCAGUUUGGCCGCCACCGUUGUACACCAAGCAUGUGUGGCAUUGCGUGAUUACUAGCUGCUGUAAGAAAAAGAGAAACUGCUGCAGACCCUCAAAAGGUCCUGUGUGGGGGGGAAAUGAGGUCAAGUUCAAACUCUUUCAGCUAAGGCAUAAAAUCUGCCAAAAACAUUUGGAAGUGAACUCAGAUGGAUGAUCUAUCACUGAAGGUUUCUAGCUUUUGAGUAAAAGAAAUAUUUCAAGUUUGUUUUUCUCCGAUACCGAAUCAUGAUGUUCGCUAUGGUUCAUUCAAAACUGUACUGGGAAAGGCUUGAUUUGACAUAAUGUUGUCCUUUUUUAAGUACUCUGACCAUAAAAUUGCCAAAUGAAAUGAGAAAAUUGAUCCAGGAAUUCAAACUAUGCAAUCUAGGAUUUUAAUAACGCAAUUCUUUUAAAUCUUCAAUUUAAAAGAAUCGAAAGCAGUUUAGUCCGAGCGUUCUCUGAAUAUCUUUAAGUCUAAUAUAUGCAUCUGUCAACAAGCUGAGCAGUUCAACUUUGACCAAGAGAAAAUGUCAUCAGUUGUCCUUCUGAAAAAGCAACACUAAUUGCUUUGAAAGUGCUCACCAAAGAAAAGCCACAACCUUGAGUGAGUGAGCCAUGUUUGUAGUGAUUGAGAGAUCACAAAUUCUUUGUUGGGCUGAUGAAUGAAUUUAUUUCCACAGCUCAUCGUGCACGGGCAGGCAUGUUAAUUAAAAGCUUGCCGAUGCUCUUGAACUUAUUACCUAGCUUCCUGCUAAUGAGCCAAAUUUUUUAAAAAAUGAAUGCAGCAGCAAAAACAAGCUUUAUCUAAGAGGACACUGGAGGGGAAAAAAAAUCACUUACAGCUCUUUCACUACUUCACCUUUACAGAGAAAUAACUCUUUUUCUUCCUCACUGCCCAUAUCUGCGCUGUAAUGGCUAGUAAUUUAAGGGAAAUUAACAUUUUGACAUGCUCCUCAGGGGUUGAGAAAAAGUGAAGAGGGGAUAAGAGAAAAGAAGAGGGAGGGAGGAUGUACAGGAGAUAGAAAAAGAAGAUGAAUUAGUAUUUAAUUCUGUAUGGUAGAAUAUUUAGUCCAAGGGUUAAGUGCAGUGGAGCUAACCAUCUUCUGUACUCCUACAGGUUGAGAAGUCCUAAAAAAACACAAACAAAACAAAAACGCAGACACAGCAGGCUGAGAUGACAGAAGACAUGACCACCAACCUCUGAGAGCAGAUUUCAAAUUUAAUUGUGGUUCAGAUCGACUUUUUUUUAAAGUAGAUUCUCAAAUG
Molecule: long non-coding RNA, 2676 nt
Organism: Oreochromis niloticus (Nile tilapia)
Lineage: Eukaryota; Metazoa; Chordata; Actinopteri; Cichliformes; Cichlidae
Exons: 4
Source: RefSeq, a predicted model, not a curated record